GAUGAACGCUAGCGGGAGGCUUAACACAUGCAAGUCGAGGGGCAGCACGAGGUAGCAAUACUUUGGUGGCGACCGGCGCACGGGUGAGUAACGCGUAUGCAACCUGCCCUUUACCGGAGGAUAACCCGGAGAAAUUCGGACUAAUACUGCAUAAUAAUAUCGGAAGGCAUCUUUUGAUAUUUAAACUACGGUGGUAAAGGAAGGGCAUGCGUAACAUUAGCUAGUUGGCAGGGUAACGGCCUACCAAGGCUCUGAUGUUUAGGGGACCUGAGAGGGUGAACCCCCACACUGGUACUGAGACACGGACCAGACUCCUACGGGAGGCAG
RNAcentral lists this ribosomal RNA (327 nucleotides) under uncultured Bacteroidota bacterium. Its description in RNAcentral is "bacterial SSU rRNA". It matches the Rfam family "Bacterial small subunit ribosomal RNA", at positions 28 to 351 of the family's 1533-position model. Lineage: Bacteria; Pseudomonadati; Bacteroidota. The record is from RNAcentral.